Long non-coding RNA from Bos taurus (domestic cattle), 328 nucleotides. The record is from Ensembl. Lineage: Eukaryota; Metazoa; Chordata; Mammalia; Artiodactyla; Bovidae.
CCCCCUCCUCCGAACCCCCCACGCCGGUGAAGCGGGAGUGGGCUGAGCGGGUGCACAGAGUGUUCUGCAAGCUUGUUCUACUGUCUUCUACCUGAAUGACCUCAUUCCAGGGAAAGAAAACACCAUCCUCUCUCUGGAAACUUCUCUGGCCUUCAUCUUCUCCAUCUGUAAACGGAGAUCAUAACACCAUCCUACUGUUUGUUGUGCAGAAUUCAAUGGAUUCAUGAAUUAAUAGACACCCAGUGCUUGGCCUGAAAUAUUGGGAAAAAAGAAUGAAAAGAGGUGGACCCAGGGUUUGUAGAGCCUGAAGUUUAUACCAGUUGGAAAC